GCCAGCGGCCGGCUUGGCGGGGCGGAGGGUUCCCGCCCUGGUGGCAGUGGUGACCACCCACGAUCUCUCCCUUAGGUGAUGCCUCCCGUGGACACACGUCGAGCAGCCGUGCGUUGGGUUACCUCCCGAGAGUGGGAGGCGCUCCAGGCAACCAGCCGGUAGCCCUGGCAGGAGAGUCCUCCGGCCUGGACCCGCGCAGGUCCUGUCACCAGGCACACACUGGCACUCCAUUCCGCCAUCCUUCGGGGCGAUGCCUUUGGUGAAUCUGUCUCUAAAAUGCCCUUUCCCAUCCUAUUACCGAGCUACAACAGCGCACAGCCUGGAGAUCCUCACAGGGCCACCUCGAAAGCCACGCUUCUGUGCUCUGCUGAGAGCGUUAUCUGUAGCUGACACAGUUGGAAUGUCCUUUCAAUGCCAGUUCAUAAUAUUCUUUUUAAUUGUCAUCAAAAUGAUUACAUUAUUUUUGGUUAAUAUUAAAUAAUUACCUUCUUCCUUGGUG
Molecule: long non-coding RNA, 499 nt
Organism: Psammomys obesus (fat sand rat)
Lineage: Eukaryota; Metazoa; Chordata; Mammalia; Rodentia; Muridae
Exons: 2
Source: RefSeq, a predicted model, not a curated record